GACGAACGCUGGCGGCGUGCUUAACACAUGCAAGUCGAGCGGUAAGGCCCUUUCGGGGGUACACGAGCGGCGAACGGGUGAGUAACACGUGGGUGACCUGCCUUUAGCUCUGGGAUAAGCCUGGGAAACUGGGUCUAAUACCGGAUACGACUCCGCGGUGCAUGCUGUGGGGUGGAAAGCCUUGUGCGGCUGGAGAUGGGCCCGCGGCCUAUCAGCUUGUUGGUGGGGUGAUGGCCUACCAAGGCGACGACGGGUAGCCGGCCUGAGAGGGCGACCGGCCACACUGGGACUGAGACACGGCCCAGACUCCUACGGGAGGCAGCAGUGGGGAAUCUUGCGCAAUGCGCGAAAGCCUGACGCAGCGACGCCGCGUGAGGGAUGACGG
RNAcentral lists this ribosomal RNA (385 nucleotides) under uncultured bacterium. RNAcentral describes it as "bacterial SSU rRNA". It matches the Rfam family "Bacterial small subunit ribosomal RNA", at positions 28 to 414 of the family's 1533-position model. The record is from RNAcentral.